Molecule: ribosomal RNA, 1574 nt
Filed under: Enterobacteriaceae endosymbiont of Donacia fulgens
Lineage: Bacteria; Pseudomonadati; Pseudomonadota; Gammaproteobacteria; Enterobacterales; Enterobacteriaceae
Description: bacterial SSU rRNA
Rfam family: Bacterial small subunit ribosomal RNA
Source: RNAcentral
AAAUUGAAGAGUUUGAUCAUGGCUCAGAUUGAACGCUGGCGGCAAGCCUAACACAUGCAAGUCGAGCGGCAGCGAAAUAAAAAGAAUUGUAAAAUUUUUUUUAUUGUCGGCAAGCGGCGGACGGGUGAGUAAUAUCUGGGGAUCUGCCUUUUGGAGGGGGAUAACUAUUGGAAACGAUAGCUAAUACCGCAUGAUGUCUUUACGACUAAAGUAGGGGAUUUUAUAUUUAUAUAGAACCUUAUGCCAUUAGAUGAACCCAGACGGGAUUAGCUAGUAGGUAGAGUAAAAGCCUACCUAGGCUACGAUCCCUAGCUGGUCUGAGAGGAUGAUCAGCCACACUGGAACUGAGACACGGUCCAGACUCCUACGGGAGGCAGCAGUGGGGAAUAUUGCACAAUGGGCGAAAGCCUGAUGCAGCUAUGCCGCGUGUAUGAAGAAGGCCUUAGGGUUGUAAAGUACUUUCAACAAGAAAGAAAAGAUAGAAUCUAAUAAAUUUUAUCGUUGACGUUACUUGUAAAAGAAGCACCGGCUAACUCCGUGCCAGCAGCCGCGGUAAUACGGAGGGUGCGAGCGUUAAUCGGAAUUACUGGGCGUAAAGAGCACGUAGGCUGUUAAUUAAGUCAGGUGUGAAAUCCCUAAGCUUAACUUAGGAACUGCAUUUGAAACUGAUUAACUUGAGUUUCGUAGAGGGGGGUAGAAUUCCAGGUGUAGCGGUGAAAUGCGUAGAUAUCUGGAGGAAUACCAGUGGCGAAGGCGACCCCCUGGACGAAUACUGACGCUCAGGUGCGAAAGCAUGGGGAGCAAACAGGAUUAGAUACCCUGGUAGUCCAUGCUGUAAACAAUGUCGACUUGAAGGUUGUAAGCUUGACUUAUAGCUUUCGUAGCUAACGCGUUAAGUCGACCGCCUGGGGAGUACGACCGCAAGGUUAAAACUCAAAUGAAUUGACGGGGGCCCGCACAAGCGGUGGAGCAUGUGGUUUAAUUCGAUGCAACGCGAAAAACCUUACCUGGUCUUGACAUCCAUGGAAUUUAAUAGAGAUAUUUUAGUGCCUUCGGGAACCAUGAGACAGGUGCUGCAUGGCUGUCGUCAGCUCGUGUUGUGAAAUGUUGGGUUAAGUCCCGCAACGAGCGCAACCCUUAUCCUUUGUUGCCAUCAGUUCGGCUGGGAACUCAAAGGAGACUGCCGGUGAUAAACCGGAGGAAGGUGAGGACGACGUCAAGUCAUCAUGGCCCUUACGACCAGGGCUACACACGUGCUACAAUGGUAUAUACAAAGGGAAGCAUCCUCGCAAGAGUAAGCGAAUCUCACAAAAUAUAUCUUAGUUCGGAUUGGAGUCUGCAACUCGACUCUAUGAAGUCGGAAUCGCUAGUAAUCGUAGAUCAGAAUGCUACGGUGAAUACGUUCCCGGGCCUUGUACACACCGCCCGUCACACCAUGGAAGUGGGUUGUAAAAGAAGUAAGUUGCUUAACCUUUAAUUUUCUAAGGAGGGCGCUUACCACUUUAUGAUUCAUAACUGGGGUGAAGUCGUAACAAGGUAACCGUAGGGGAACCUGUGGUUGGAUCACCUCCUUU